Molecule: ribosomal RNA, 392 nt
Filed under: Alexandrium margalefii
Lineage: Eukaryota; Dinophyceae; Gonyaulacales; Pyrocystaceae
Description: partial Bacterial small subunit ribosomal RNA
Rfam family: Bacterial small subunit ribosomal RNA
Source: RNAcentral
AUGAAGAGUUUGAUCCUGGCUCAGGAUGAACGCUAGCGGCAGGCCUAACACAUGCAAGUCGAGGGGCAGCGGGGAGUGCUUGCACUCUGCCGGCGACCGGCGCACGGGUGCGUAACGCGUAUACAACCUACCUCUUACUAUUGGAUAGCCCAGAGAAAUUUGGAUUAAGCCAAUAUGGCACCACAUCACGGCAUCGUGUUUGUGGUUAAAGGUUACGGUAAGAGAUGGGUAUGCGUCCUAUUAGUUUGUUGGUAAGGUAACGGCUUACCAAGACUACGAUAGGUAGGGGCCCUGAGAGGGGGAUCCCCCACACUGGUACUGAGACACGGACCAGACUCCUACGGGAGGCAGCAGUGAGGAAUAUUGGACAAUGGGCGGGAGCCUGAUCCAGC